RNAcentral lists this ribosomal RNA (497 nucleotides) under uncultured bacterium. Its description in RNAcentral is "partial 16S ribosomal RNA". It matches the Rfam family "Bacterial small subunit ribosomal RNA", at positions 28 to 507 of the family's 1533-position model. The record is from RNAcentral.
GAUGAACGCUGGCGGCGUGCCUAAUACAUGCAAGUCGAGCGAACAGAUCAGGAGCUUGCUCCUUUGACGUUAGCGGCGGACGGGUGAGUAACACGUGGGUAACCUACCUAUAAGACUGGAAUAACUCCGGGAAACCGGGGCUAAUGCCGGAUAACAUUUAGAACCGCAUGGUUCUAAAGUGAAAGAUGGUUUUGCUAUCACUUAUAGAUGGACCCGCGCCGUAUUAGCUAGUUGGUAAGGUAACGGCUUACCAAGGCGACGAUACGUAGCCGACCUGAGAGGGUGAUCGGCGACACUGGAACUGAGACACGGUCCAGACUCCUACGGGAGGCAGCAGUAGGGAAUCUUCCGCAAUGGGCGAAAGCCUGACGGAGCAACGCCGCGUGAGUGAUGAAGGUCUUCGGAUCGGAAAACUCUGUUAUUAGGGAAGAACAAAUGUGUAAGUAACUGUGCACGUCUUGACGGUACCUAAUCAAAAAGCCACGGCUAACUACGUG